AUCAGGCUAGGGCGAGUUCAAUCUUCCCAACCUAACUUUCUAAAGCUGGCAACAGGCAGCCUGGGCCUAGCUACGCUAACUCUUGACCUAGCCUGGCUCGGCCUCGGCCUUGGCCUAGCCCAGCCCAGCCCAGCCCAGCCCAGCCUACCGAAGCCCAAACUUACUUUUAGGGCUGGCUGACCGAGCCGGGGGGCCUGGGCCACCCUUCCCAUUGCCACCCCUGUUAAUUUUCCUAGCUCCGCGUGUAAUCCGAGCCAUGAGGCGAGCCGAGCUGCUCUUCUCCCCCACCGAAAAGACCACGAUCUUCACCUCUUUUCUUUCUCGGAAACUGAUUUGGCGUUCACUGUUUAUGCCAACUGUUCUCAGCGCUCCUACUCUGUGGGGCCCACACCAGACUUUAAAGGUAGAGGCCACUAUUUAUCCUCUUCCCUCGAUCCAUGUUAAAAGACGCAAAUUAAAAAGGCCAUGGCCUCCAUAACCCUCUUCCUCUUCUCAGUAAUCUCCAGCUUCAUCUUCACCUCCAACGGUGACCUGCCCGGAAAAUGGGAAUUGCUCCUACAGAAUGCCGGGAUCUCGUCGAUGCAUACUGCGGUCACCCGAUUCGGGACUGUAGUGCUUCUCGACCGCACCAACAUCGGGCCCACUAAGCUCAAGCUGCCUCGCGGCAACUGUCGCUACGAUCCGAGGGACGCAACACUGAAGCUCGAUUGCUAUGCUCACUCUGCAAUCUUCGACCCUGCCAGCAAUCAAAUCCGGCCGUUGAAAAUCCUGACUGACACGUGGUGCUCAUCGGGUGGGUUUUUGCCGAACGGGACUCUCCUCCAAACCGGAGGCGACCUCGAUGGCAACCGUAAGGUCAGGCUCUUUGAGCCGUGUUCGUCGGGAAGUUACUGUGAUUGGAUGGAAAUUCCGGAUUAUGAUCUGGCCGUUGGACGGUGGUAUUCGACGAACCAGAUUUUGCCUGAGGGCCAUGUCAUCAUCGUCGGAGGUCGCGGGACCCACACCGUGGAGUUUUACCCUCCUAACAUGGGGACAAUUACAGAACUGCCCUUCCUCUUGGAAGCAGAGGACGCUCAGAUGGACAAUCUUUACCCUUAUGUUCAUCUUCUCCCCAAUGGUCGCCUCUUCAUUUUCGCAAAUACCAAAUCUAUCCUCUACGAUUAUAAUUUGAAUCGGGUUGUACACGUGUACCCGGAACUACAGGGAGGGCCCAGGAACUACCCAUCUGCCGGAUCAUCGGCGAUGCUCGCCUUGACGCCGGAUAACGAACAUUCGACGGCCGAGGUUGUAGUUUGCGGUGGAGCAACAUACGGUGCAUUUAUACAGCAAUCUACCGAUGCACCGGCCAAUGGGAGCUGCGGGAGAAUCGUGGCCACAGACCUCGAGGCCACAUGGCAAAUGGAGGAGAUGCCAUUUGUCAGGAUAAUGGGGGACAUGGUGAUGCUGCCCACCGGACAUUUAUUGAUAAUCAAUGGUGCACAAGCGGGGUCUCAGGGAUUUAACCUGGCUUCCAGCCCUUGUCUAAACCCGGUUCUUUAUCGGCCAGAAAUGGACGCCGGAUUACGGUUUAUGACACUUAAUCCGGCAACCGUGCCCAGAAUGUACCAUUCGACUGCGGUUUUGUUGCCCGAUGGCCGCAUUUUGACAGCAGGCAGUAACCCUAAUUACUUUUACAGUUUCAAAGGCGACUUUCCAACGGAGCUAAGGAUCGAGGCUUUCUCCCCUGAAUAUCUCUCUCCCGAUCGCCAAAAUCUCCGUCCCGUUAUCUCCAAAACACCGUCCGUUAUCCGUUACAGCGAGCAAUUCGAAGUCCAAAUAAAGGUACCGUUACCCGUUGUCGAAGUCGUUGAAAUCAACUUUGCGAGCGCGCCCUUCGCAACUCACUCUUUCUCACAAGGCCAACGCCUCGUCAAGCUUUCGGUCUCCAGCGCCCACCCCUCAAUUUCCGGCGCAAUUUCGGCGGAUUCCGGCGGCUACACCUACACAAUCUCUUGUACGGCUCCGCCCAACGGGGCGGUGGCGCCACCCAGCUAUUACAUGAUGUUUGCAGUCAAUCAAGGAGUGCCAAGUGUCGCCUCCUGGAUUCAUCUCAUCAAUUGAAAUCGAUGGUAGAGAUUCGAUAUCAAAGUGUCCAAUAAAUAAAGGCCACAGUAGAGUUGGGACAAAAUACCGUAAUGUUGUGGGCCCAACAACAGUUACGUAUACGACUACGGUGUACAGAUGAUUUAGAUUGCGGACCACAUACAUUAUUUUGAUCAAAAGGUGAAGAAAACAGAAGGAUUUGACAACACUUGCCCUUGCACUCCGGAAUCAUGGUUCAAUUGAAAGAUGAGCGGCGUCGGAAGUGGGCGAAGAACACGCGGCUGAAAGGAGGAAGCAAGAGGACACAUGGCCAAGAGAGGGAUAGAGCAUGGCACACGGCAGAGGAGGACGGAAAGAGGGAGCACGUGGCCAACUGACAAAAUGCACACACGAGAGAGGAGACAGAUAAAUCCCUACCACCAUUUUUUAUUAAAUAUCCAAAUUAACUGCCGAUAUCCUUCUGCUUUUUUUUA
Molecule: non-coding RNA, 2555 nt
Organism: Amborella trichopoda
Lineage: Eukaryota; Viridiplantae; Streptophyta; Magnoliopsida; Amborellales; Amborellaceae
Source: RefSeq, a predicted model, not a curated record